This 253-nucleotide ribosomal RNA is filed under the name uncultured bacterium. RNAcentral describes it as "partial 16S ribosomal RNA". It matches the Rfam family "Bacterial small subunit ribosomal RNA", at positions 524 to 776 of the family's 1533-position model. The record is from RNAcentral.
UACGUAGGGGGCAAGCGUUGUCCGGAAUCAUUGGGCGUAAAGAGCGUGUAGGCGGCCAGAUAAGUCAGCUGUGAAAUCUCGAGGCUCAACUUCGAGCUGGCGGUGGAAACUGUCUGGCUAGAGUCCGGAAGAGGAGAAUGGAAUUCCUGGUGUAGCGGUGAAAUGCGCAGAUAUCAGGAAGAACACCCGUGGCGAAGGCGGUUCUCUGGGACGGUACUGACGCUGAGACGCGAAAGCGUGGGGAGCGAACAGG